Molecule: microRNA precursor, 95 nt
Filed under: Paramuricea clavata
Lineage: Eukaryota; Metazoa; Cnidaria; Anthozoa; Malacalcyonacea; Plexauridae
Source: RNAcentral
AUUCGAAUUAGGCGUUUAUGACGUUGAAUAUCAACGUCAUAAACAUUCAACCUAGAUGUUUAUGACGUUGAUAUUCAACGUCAUAAACAUUCAAC